This 351-nucleotide ribosomal RNA is filed under the name uncultured soil bacterium. Its description in RNAcentral is "bacterial SSU rRNA". It matches the Rfam family "Bacterial small subunit ribosomal RNA", at positions 26 to 374 of the family's 1533-position model. The record is from RNAcentral.
AGAGUGAACGCUGGCGGUAGGCCUAACACAUGCAAGUCGAACGGCAGCACAGUGGUAGCAAUACCAUGGGUGGCGAGUGGCGGACGGGUGAGGAAUACAUCGGAAUCUACCUUUUCGUGGGGGAUAACGUAGGGAAACUUACGCUAAUACCGCAUACGCCCUUCGGGGGAAAGCCGGGGAUCGCAAGACCUGGCGCGGAUAGAUGAGCCGAUGUCGGAUUAGCUAGUUGGUGAGGUAAUGGCUCACCAAGGCGACGAUCCGUAGCUGGUCUGAGAGGAUGAUCAGCCACACUGGAACUGAGACACGGUCCAGACUCCUACGGGAGCAGCAGGUGGGAAUAGUUGGAUUAAG